GGAGUUGUGGCUCAGUGGUAGAGUACUCACCUCACAUGUGUGAGGCCAUGUGUUUGAUCCUAAGCACCA
RNAcentral lists this transfer RNA (69 nucleotides) under Marmota monax (woodchuck). RNAcentral's name for it is "tRNA.Val". Lineage: Eukaryota; Metazoa; Chordata; Mammalia; Rodentia; Sciuridae. The record is from RNAcentral.